This is a long non-coding RNA of Lonchura striata (white-rumped munia), 2500 nucleotides long. The record is from Ensembl. Lineage: Eukaryota; Metazoa; Chordata; Aves; Passeriformes; Estrildidae.
CAUGCAGAAAACAAAACCAAAAAGGCACCACCAGCAAUUGAUGCAUUUUUGUAUUUAAAUAAGCAGGCGUGCUCAUGCAUAUUUAUAUGACGUGCAUGCCUAUGCGCCGCUCUGAGCAGUGGCUCUGCGGCUCGGCUGCAGUAAUUAGGCUGAUGUAAUUAUAGCAAAACAAAGCAAGCUUAGGCUGAUGGUGGGUUUUUCUCCCCAUUCAGUGGGAACAUUUAAGACAUAUGCAUAUUCCAGCGUACAAAAAAUGAACCUGCACCGCUGUCGGAGGCUAGGAGGACAGUGUGGCCAGUGCACCUAUUGUGUCACUGCUGUAGAAAGCAGCUUAGCGAUUGGCCACUGUCUGCAGCACAUAAUACUGACUGGUUAUAAAGGACUUGUCUAGAGGAAAGCCUACGGAUCUAACAACGCAGUCUGGGCUCCGUGCCAAAGGCUGGUAUUUCACAGCAGCGACCGCCUUACAGAUGAGCUGUGGGAAGCAGGAGGGAGACUCUCUUAGGGUGCCACUACUAUGGAGACACAGCUGGGCUGAACAAGAUUUGCUUCAAACGACAACAAGAGAGACAGAAAGAGUCUGGUUCGACCGCUGCCCAAGCAGGCAGUAACCAGAAGAGCUAGCAGCCAAUCCGGCCAUGCUGCACUGUUCGAAACCAGCUCUACAUCCCAGCCAAUCAGUGACAUCACUGGACUGGAAAUAAACAAUUUCAAUAGAUGUCAGUUUUGUGUGCUGUGAUGCUCCACUCUGAGUGAUGCCACGUUCAGCACUGAGUAGGACUGGCAGAGGAGAGAGGCUUCUCAGAAUGAGGUGUACAGCUGCCAUUCCAGGUGUGCAGCUGCCAUUCCAUCUCCCUGCAGGACUGUGUUUGCUGCUCCACAAGCUGCAGAAAAGGCAGAAAAAGAAAGAAACAAAGAAAGGCACCAAAGCAGAGAUCUUCAAAGUACCUAAACUCCAUCAGGAAAUUUUUGGUACCUUGCUGGUUUGUUGUCUGGACUGGAAUGAGGGUUUCAAUCUACAUCUCAAGGCUGGUGCCAUAACCUGUAAGAACUCUUUUUUAGUUUUUAUUGUGUUAAUCAUAUAUUCUUCCCAUAAAAUUAGUUUCAAAGUGUUGCAGCUGGUGUGCCAUAGUAGUUGCUAUUUGAAUUGUUAUUUGUGGCUCCUUUAAGAGGUGUAAAAACCUGAAAAGGAAUAGUAGAAUUCUAGUUUCCUUUGUUCAUAGUUUGUUUCCUAGAGCAAGAUGGCAAAAUUACUGCAGUUGUACAAAUGCUGUGCUACAUCCCAAUUAGUCUUUAAUGAGGAGAAAAGGAAGGAUUGAGGCAGUGUGAUAAGGCUUGCUGUUGCAGCAAGCACUAUUAACUUCUGAGACUUUUAUCUAACACUUUUAUCUUCAUUCUGCAGCCUAAAACCUUCAUAGCCAUCUCUGGUCUGUGGUGUUUCAAGCAGGUAUCUGAGCUGUAAACCUUCAUGCAAACAUUAUAGUGCAGAGCCAAAACCAGGUGCAAUUACAUCAAAUGCAUGCUUUUAAUUCAAAUGUACAUUUCAGAAACCAUCCAGCAUAGACUGUGUUAUGUACAUCCUUUGCCACAGAGCAUCUCUAAUAGAAUAACACAUUAUAUAAUGUGUUAGGUCUGUGUGCCUGCGCUGCACAGUUUUGCUUUCAGAUGUGUGCAUUUGGCUUGUGCAGUGUAAGAAAAUGUCUUCUCAAGACAAAUAUGCUACUGCUUGCCUUUUGAAAAAUACUCAUGGAAGGCCUGAAAGGGUACAGAGAACAUUUUCCCAGCACAAACAAAAUUCUUGUUAUGUAAUUUAUUUGGCUUCAAAAAUCAAGCAAGCUGUUUGGUUCUAUACUGGGAUUUUGAACCUGCCAACUCUGACAGCUCCACAUAGUCAUGUAGCUGUUGUUUGGUGGUGUCACAGCAAACCUCUCUGCUUAGCUUGCUUUAACCUUGUCCUCCAGAUGAGAUUCAAAACAUACUUCAAAGGUGUACCUGUCAGCAAUUAAUAUGAAAGUCAUAUCAUCUGUGCUCCUAUAGAAAAAGUUAGGUAUGGUUUUCAUUAUAAGUGAAAAGUGGGUAAGAUUUUGAGAUUUUGAAUAUAGACAGUAAUAGGAGAAGAGAAUGUCAGGCUCUUUUAUGUAGACAUUUGUGAGGUUUUGGUUUGUCAAUAUAGCAUAAAAACAUUACUAAAGUAUAUAAAGUAAUAUCAAAAUUAAUAGUUAUUUGUAAGUGAAUUCAGCUAUUUCUAUGACAAUUACUCUAAAUUUUUUUGUUCUGAAUCAUGCACGUACCAUCAUUUCAUAAAAAGGGCUUCAUUAAAAUGCCUACACAUGGUGUUGGGUGGGUGAAAGAGGAACUUCUAAUGUUUUAUUAAAUUUCUUUUUUUACUUUUAUUGUUAAAAGGUGCUGUGGACAGGAGUAGUGUUAUACACAAUCAUAAUAUUCUAGGCACCCCUCUAUAGAUUUCAAAUAAAUAUGUCCUUAUUAAAUGUCUUUUCCA